CGGAAGUUUAAAGCGGCUGACGAGACGCUGAUCACAACGUUUGUUAAAUAAUUUCUAAUAUCGCACAUUAUCAGAGGGGGAUGUUGGUCCACGCUGAUGACAUCAUGCAGUUUCUGCAGUUCGGAUGGCGGGACACUACCGCCACCAGCCUGUACCGUUGACACCAGGUUGGAUGGGUCCCUGGACUCAUGCUGCUUAUGCCAAGUCUUGACUCUGCCAUCAGCAUGACGCAACAGGAACUGGGAUUCCUUGGACCAGGACUGCUGCUGACUGGAUGUUUUUUUUGUUUGUCGCACCAUUCUGGGGAAACCCUAGACACUGUCGUGAGUGAAAAGCCCAGGAGUUCGGCCAUUUCUGAGAUACUGGAAUCGCCGAUCAUACCACGCUCAAAGUCGCUUAGGUCAUUAGUUUUGCCCAACGUUCAAUUGAACAGUAACUGAAUGCCUCAAUGUCUGUCUACUUGCUUCAUAUAUCAAGCUAUAGCCACGUGACUCACUGUGUCGUAGGAGCGAUCCAUUUUGUGAACAGGGUGGUGUACCUAAUAAACUAACCAGUGAGUGUAUAUAUUCAUGAAAAUAAUGUCAGGUCACAGCUCGCUGCUCUUAAAGCUGGAAUCUGCAGUUGAAACAAUAACAAAGUGGACACCCCACCUCUGUUUCGGUAAAAGCUUAGGGAUGGGCCCAAGAGGUAUGGCCAUAGAGACAUUUUCUAAGAUUUUUACCAAAACAUUUUGUUAUUGUGGGGUGUAACCACUCUCAAACUCAUAGACAGAGCUAUGGAUGCAAAGACUGAUCAUACAUGAUAUCAAAAUGAUAGCUUUAACCAUGUUUUGAGGCUUGUUUACAUUUAUAUUGUUUACAAAGUUUGGAGUAAAACAAGCUUAUAUUUGGGGUUCUAAUGGGCUACAACAGUUGAACUAAGCUCAUGAGAGCCUUCAGAAAGUAAUCACACCCCUAUUAGUUUUCCACAUUUUGCCUGAAUUUAAAAUGGAUUGAAUUUACAUUUUGUGUCACUGAUCUACACAAAAUAAUGUCAACAUGUUGUUUGAAAUGUUUUUUUGAAAUGAAUAAAAAAUGAAUAG
This is a long non-coding RNA of Oncorhynchus masou masou (cherry salmon), 1081 nucleotides long. RefSeq lists it as uncharacterized. The record is from RefSeq and is a predicted model, not a curated record. The transcript has 3 exons. NCBI's taxonomy places the organism in Eukaryota, Metazoa, Chordata, Actinopteri, Salmoniformes, Salmonidae.